GUAUGUACGUGCAAUAAAAGGUUUUUUGGCUCAGAACGGUGUGAUAGAUUUAUCCGUUCAAUAUAAUAAUAGCUAUUGUGAUGCUACCUCUGAGUAUAGAAAUAACAACAGUAACGAAGAGAUUACGAAAAUGAGAAAGCAAUAUGGCCAUACACGACUUGCAUGAAUUCGACGUUUUAACAAAGGGGCAAAAUUAGUCAUUCUAAUUAAUUGCAUCCUUCUCCCAGCAGGUUCUUAAAAAAUGUCCAUCAACUAUCCAGGUCGUUCUAAUAUAAUAAUUACGACUGGUAGUACACCUCAAUAGAAAAUAGAAGAAAAGAAAGUAUAAAGUAAGAUGAUCCAUCCUAUGUUAACCUUUACACAAGCUUCUCUAUCGACGUGAGAAAUUUUUAUCAAAACCUGCUUCUCGUUCAUAGAGCAGUAUUCAACGACAUCACGGUAAUAAUUUGCUGAUGAAGUCACCGUUAACUUCUUAGUAGCUUCGCGCAAUAGGCACGCGCCAACAGAAUCUCCCUCGGGCAUUGAAUUAUACUUAUCGCUUCACUAAUGAUUGAUCGUAAUUGAUACCUUCGCGUUAUAAUAUAUAUCUACGGCGAUUGCUAAUGCAACUCGAGGAGUUGAAAUGUUAUCACUGAAGAUGCGAUAUGUUACAUGAAAGAUAGUCGCGUGUACACCAGUGAAAUGGGAACAUAAUUAUCCAUUUCCGCUAACUUAUUAGCUUGAAAAAUUCCAAUUUCUUGGCGCAGUAAGGUGGAAAUUAAUAACAUGUACUGUUAAUCACCAAUUUGAUAAGCUGUGCUAAUUUAUGACUAAGAAGAAUUUAUUAAUUAGAUGAUGUUUUUAGCUAUUUGUAAAUGUAUGUAAUGUAGGCAUUACAUUAGUAUAGGUACUUGAAAAUGUACACAGGAUUAUAAAAGUAUCUGAUCACUUGUAGAUACCUUUCAUGAAAAGAUGUACAUAGUAUGUGUGUUAUAGGAAACAUUUUGAAACUUCAUUAAUACUGUUACGAGACUGCACUCUCAUGCUCAUGUUGGUAUAGUUUGCAAGAGAUCUGGAAGUAUAUACAGAGUCCAGCCGAAUAAUAUACAUAUGCAAGCGAGCUUUAUAUUCGACAAUUUUUAAAACUCGAUUUUCUCGAAAACUGAGCCUCGGAUGAAAACAUUUUAUUCUAUAUUUUCUUUUAACUUUUGCAUAAAACAGGACUCUGCAUACAGAUUACGAAUAAUAUAAUACAAAUAUAAAUUUUCUAUAAUGAAUCAGAAUCAUGUCCACGAAUACAGAUGUGAUGUUAAUUAAUUUUGUAAUAUUAGCGAUAUUUUUUUAAGGUAUGCAUAUAUUAUGUUUGAAAUAAUCCUAAAUUAUACAUAGUAUAAAUAAAGUAGGUACUGACUGAAAGAGAUGGAAUAAAACACUGUUUUGUAUGAACGAGAAUUUUUAGCUUGGUAAAAUUCUUCUGGUGGAGACGAUAAUAACUUAUUAUUAGUAAGUGAUAAAUAAUAAUACAUUUUCGAUAAGAAUUUCAGGUAAUUUUUUAAUAUUCGUAAUACUUUUGAAAAAAACAUUUAAUUCAUAUAAUAAAGCAUUGAAUAUUUUAUCAAAGGUGAAGCUAUUUUGAUAAAUAAAUUUUAGUUUAAUGAAAAAGCAUUUUUAAAUAUAUACAACUUUUAUCUGGAUGAAAUUUAAUUUAACAUUGUCCUGGCAAUGAUGUAAGAUUUGGCUCACAUGAUAUAUCUUCAAUGAAUGUUAUCUUAUAAUUCAAAUCAUAAUACAAAAUAUUAUUAUAAUUAUAUCGUCUAUAGUUCAGCACAAUUAUUGAAAGUUUUCAACAAAAAUAUGUAUGUCCUCUCCAGCAUUUAUCUGAUCAUUACUUCAAUACUUAUUAUUUAUUAUAUAAAUAAUUUUAUGGAUUAUUAAAUAAUGAAGAAUUUAACUGAAGGAAAAGAGAACAAAACAGAGAAAAAGAAAUAGGAAAGGAGGGUACCGGUGAAAGUACAGACAAUACGUACCGGAACAGUGAGCAAGGUCACUUCCGGUGUCCUCUGUGAGUCUCUGACGAUAGCAGUCAAGGCCGUAAUUGCAGCCAUAUUCGAAAGGGCAAGGGCAACGAGGCUCGCUGCAAGGUGAGCCGUGGAAAAGCUGGAAUUUGUCU
Molecule: long non-coding RNA, 2149 nt
Organism: Bombus pyrosoma
Lineage: Eukaryota; Metazoa; Arthropoda; Insecta; Hymenoptera; Apidae
Exons: 3
Source: RefSeq, a predicted model, not a curated record